Molecule: ribosomal RNA, 440 nt
Filed under: uncultured bacterium
Lineage: Bacteria
Description: bacterial SSU rRNA
Rfam family: Bacterial small subunit ribosomal RNA
Source: RNAcentral
AACGCGAAGAACCUUACCUGGGUUUGACAUCCCCGGACAGUCCUAGAGAUAGGAUCUCCCCUUCGGGGCCGGGAGACAGGUGCUGCAUGGCUGUCGUCAGCUCGUAUCGUGAGAUGUCGGGUUAAGUCCCUUAACGAGCGCAACCCCUAUCCCUAGUUGCCAUCAUUCAGUUGGGCACUCUAUGGAGACUGCCGGUGUUAAACCGGAGGAAGGCGGGGAUGACGUCAAGUCCUCAUGGCCUUUAUAUCCAGGGCGACACACGUGCUACAAUGGCCGGUACAGAGGGUUGCCAACCCGCGAGGGGGAGCUAAUCUCACAAAGCCGGUACUCAGUUCGGAUUGAAGUCUGCAAUUCGACUUCAUGAAGCUGGAAUCGCUAGUAAUCGCGGAUCAGAACGCCGCGGUGAAUACGUUCCCGGGCCUUGUACACACCGAGACGAC